Molecule: ribosomal RNA, 399 nt
Filed under: uncultured bacterium
Lineage: Bacteria
Description: partial 16S ribosomal RNA
Rfam family: Bacterial small subunit ribosomal RNA
Source: RNAcentral
AAUAUUGGGCAAUGGGCGAAAGCCUGACCCAGCAACGCCGCGUGAGGGAAGAAGGCCUUCGGGUUGUAAACCUUUGUCCUUGGGGAAGAAAUAAAUGACGGUACCCAAGGAGGAAGCUCCGGCCAACUACGUCCCAGCAGCCGCGGUAAUACGUAGGGAGCGAGAGUUGUCCGGAAUUGAUUGGCGUAAAGGGUGCGUAGGCGGCUAGGCAAGUAAGAUGUGAAAUCCCCGGGCUUAGAUCGGAUGGUAGAUUUGAAACUGCUUAGCUUGGGGGCAAGGGAGGAAAGCGGAAUUCCUAGUGUAGCGGUGAGAUACGUAGAUAUUAGGAGGAACACCAGUGGCGAAGGCAGCUUUCUGGACUGUAACUGACGCUGAGGCACGAAAGCGUGGGGAGCAAAC